AACGAACGCUGGCGGCAGGCCUAACACAUGCAAGUCGAGCGGACCCUUCGGGGUUAGCGGCGGACGGGUGAGUAACGCGUGGGAAUAUGCCCUUCUCUACGGAAUAGUCCUGGGAAACUGGGGGUAAUACCGUAUACGCCCUUUGGGGGAAAGAUUUAUCGGGGAAGGAUUAGCCCGCGUUGGAUUAGGUAGUUGGUGGGGUAAUGGCCUACCAAGCCGACGAUCCAUAGCUGGUUUGAGAGGAUGAUCAGCCACACUGGGACUGAGACACGGCCCAGACUCCUUCGGGAGGCAGCAGUGGGGAAUCUUAGACAAUGGGGGCAACACUGAUCUAGCCAUGCCGCGUGAGUGAUGAAGGCCUUAGGGUUGUAAAGCUCUUUCAGCUGGGAAGAUAAUGACGGUACCAGCAGAAGAAGCCCCGGCUAACUCCGUG
RNAcentral lists this ribosomal RNA (433 nucleotides) under uncultured bacterium. RNAcentral describes it as "partial 16S ribosomal RNA". It matches the Rfam family "Bacterial small subunit ribosomal RNA", at positions 29 to 507 of the family's 1533-position model. The record is from RNAcentral.